This is a long non-coding RNA of Lolium rigidum, 421 nucleotides long. RefSeq lists it as uncharacterized. The record is from RefSeq and is a predicted model, not a curated record. The transcript is spliced from 2 exons. Lineage: Eukaryota; Viridiplantae; Streptophyta; Magnoliopsida; Poales; Poaceae.
UUUCAGAAGCAUAUCACAGGGUUUCUCCGCUUGAACUGGUUGUCAAAAUUCUAACCAAUGUCAUGAUCCAAGUCAUGCUCCAUGCUCCAGGACAUGCUGAAGAAACUGCAACUGCCCAAUCAAAUAGCAGUCGGACCACAAAAUAUAUGGUGCUGAGUGAAAGGAAAUACUGAAAAAUUAUAACCAGAAUGGGCUUGUCAUUAAAGAUUAUGCUACCGCUUCUAUGUACAAUAUAUUUCUCUACAUUUCCUUUACGUCUAUUUAUCACUAAUUACUACUUAUUAUCAGCUUGUACUGCUUAACUAAUCUGUGUAAUUUUGUGUUGGUCCCAGUAAUUAAGUCAACUACAUUCUCUUUGUUCCCUUUUCGAAAAAUAUAAUAUUUUACAAAACAUUAAUCAGUGUGGAAGAUAAUUUUAUUA